UGGGCAACCUGCCCUCAGCUCUGGGAUAACUCCGGAAAACCGGGGCUAAUACCGGAUACGACCUUCCCUCGCAUGGGGGUUGGUGGAAAGUUCUUCGGCUGAGGAUGGGCCCGCGGCCUAUCAGCUUGUUGGUGGGGUGAUGGCCUACCAAGGCGACGACGGGUAGCCGGCCUGAGAGGGCGACCGGCCACACUGGGACUGAGACACGGCCCAGACUCCUACGGGAGGCA
This 230-nucleotide ribosomal RNA is filed under the name uncultured bacterium. RNAcentral's name for it is "partial 16S ribosomal RNA". It matches the Rfam family "Bacterial small subunit ribosomal RNA", at positions 118 to 350 of the family's 1533-position model. The record is from RNAcentral.